Molecule: ribosomal RNA, 508 nt
Filed under: Conotrachelus sp. ARC3981
Lineage: Eukaryota; Metazoa; Arthropoda; Insecta; Coleoptera; Curculionidae
Description: partial 16S ribosomal RNA
Rfam family: Bacterial large subunit ribosomal RNA
Source: RNAcentral
AUAAUUUAAAGUCUAACCUGCCCAAUGAUGAAAGUUUAAUGGCCGCAGUAUACUAACUGUGCAAAGGUAGCAUAAUCAAUAGUUUUUUAAUUGAAAGCUGGAAUGAAAGGUUGAAUGAGAAAAUUACUGUCUCUAUUUAAAUUUAUUAGAAUUUUAUUUUUAAGUAAAAAAGCUUAAAUAUAUAUAAAAGACGAGAAGACCCUAUAGAGUUUAAUAUUUUUUGCAGGGUAAAAGUUUAGGAUUUUAUUUUUUGUUUUUCAAGAAAUAUUUAAUUGGGGUGAUUAAAAAAUUAAACAAACUUUUUUUUUAUUUUUACAUUAAUUUAUGAAUAUUUGAUCCUUGAAUAAAGAUUAUAAGAUUAAAUUACCUUAGGGAUAACAGCGUAAUUUUUUUUGAGAGUUCUAAUCGAAAAAAAAGAUUGCGACCUCGAUGUUGGAUUAAAAUUAAUUUUUGGUGUAGAAGCUAAAUAGAUUAGGUCUGUUCGACCUUUAAUAUUUUACAUGAUCUG